Molecule: long non-coding RNA, 5044 nt
Organism: Pseudopipra pipra
Lineage: Eukaryota; Metazoa; Chordata; Aves; Passeriformes; Pipridae
Exons: 3
Source: RefSeq, a predicted model, not a curated record
UAGGGCAUCUGUCAUUGCUUAAUUAAGAUGCAAAUUGUAGCUGUCUCCAUGGUGAUGAAGUCACUUUAUCAUGUUGAUGAAAUACAAACAUAGCUGGAUGUGCCCAGCUGAACCAGCUAUAACAGAAGAAAAAAAUGUCAGGGUUUUCUACAUCUCCAGCAGUGCUCAGCCAAAUUCUACCCUUGUCUCCCUCUCCAGCCAACCUCUAAGAGGUCUCUGGGCAUGGUGAGGUCCCAGCACUCACAUCGAUGGUGAGAGACUGAGCAACUCCACAAAUACCAAAUCUGGCCCAAGAUCACCGGCAAGGGGGAUCACCUCAUGGGGAAACUGAGGCAUGGAAGGGCUCAAGGCCAUACCAGAUCCCUGCAGAGCAUCCUCUGCACUGCAUCUCUCAGCUUCCACCCUUUGCACUUUCCCCUCCCUUCCUGUCUUCUUCCCUCCCCUCCCCUUUCCUCCCCUCUCUUUCCAUUUUCCACUGCAAGUAAAGCAGCGUGAAGGCAAGAGAGAACUGCUACAUACAAAAUAAAGACCAAGGAAUCACAGAAUACGCUGAGUUGGAAGGAACCUACAAGGAUCAUCGAGUCCAACUCCUGGCCCCGCACAGGACCAUCUCCAAGAGCCACACCAUGUGCCCAAGAACAUUGUCCGAAGCUUCUUGAGCUCUGUCAGCCUUGGUUCUGUGACCACUUCCCAGGGCAGCCUGUUCAGUGCUCAACCACCCUCUGGGUGAAAAACCUCUCUCUAACAUCCAACCUAAACCUCCUCUGACACAACUUCAGGCCAUUCCCUCAGGUUCUGUCUCUGGUCACCACAGAGAAUAGAACAUUCUCCUACAAAGAAAUGGACACUGAUGACCAGUGCAUGUAUUUACCUUCCCAACCUCCCAGCUAGACAAAAUAUGUUGUUCCCAACCUGAGCCAAGGGCCCUGGCCAUCAUCUCCAGGACAUGGGUUGCACUGCUGGCAUGGCAGCCAGCAGGCAUUCCCAGUGCACUGGGAAUGGGAGAGAGGCAGGACCUAAUGAGGUCAGGAGACACAUGUGGUCAAUCCUCUGCAAUCCUAGGCUUUCACUGCAGGGCCUUGGUUUAUCUAAGUCACAAUCACAUCCUCGCCAGGCCAGGUGGUCUGGGUCCCAGACAGGCCCAUGGCACAAGCAUGAGCAAGCCUUGGGACAGCCUUUGGGAUGGCUUGACAUGUGCAUCCUGCACCUGGUGGAGAUGGUGCCAAGUUCUGGCUGUAUCACUGCCAACCUCUCUCUGCCCCUGGAGGAGGUCACCACAAGCACGUGGUGUGCCAGGUGUUGGCCUCACUAAUUUGCCAGGGGUCACCUGCAGCUGAGGCAAAGACCACCUCUGGCUGAAGUGAGGGCUUUCCACUCAUCCCCCUCCAACAGCCCCGCUAGACUUGAUUUCUGUCCAUUUUGAGCCUUCCCCAUGUGACCGACGAUGACUUCCACACAAUCCCCAUUGUCAUCCACCUGCCAGGGGCACAGAGAUUUCUCUUUACUUGAAAGCAGCUUAAGCAGCACCUGGUCUCUGGACAGCUUUGUGCACUGCCCUAGCACAGCUCUUUCCCACUGAGCUCUCUGGGACAAACCUUAUGCUCCUGGCCUGGGUAGAAGCAGAAGAAAAAGAGGGAGAGAAUUUCUUCCAUCAAGCUCCCUGGAUGCAUCCAUGCUGAAAUGACUCUCAGAUGGCCUGUCCCAUACACUUACAGUGCUCAUUUCCUGGCACAACCUACACUUGCAGAAGUACCAUCAGCUGGAACAUGCCUGGACUGGAGGGCAGAGCUGGGGUCAUGCUGGCCACAGCAGAGGCUUUUCUGGAGCUGUGCUGUUUCGUUUCCUCUCACAUUAAAGGCUUGGCAAAGCACAGCACUCAUCAGAAAGCCAGCAGGAUGGAGUGUGCAUUGCUGAUGGCAGGUUGCAGUUCUUCCUAAUUAAAGGCAGGUAUUUGAAAAGGGCUACAGCUCUAUGUAUUAUACUUGUGCCUCCAUGCCAUCACUCUUCUGCUUUCCUUUGCCACUUCCAGCUGUUACAUACCAUCUAUAUGAUCUCUGUCCAGAUUACUAAUGAAUGCCUCCUUAGAACAAAAAUUGGCUUCUUAUUUAGUAGACUCAUAAUGAUUAUGACCUAAAUACAUUAUCAGCCAUAGGGCACAAUUUAUUUUAAGCUGCAGUACACAGGGACUGAGGUUUACGUUCCUUGAUGCGAUUUCUUUUCCUUUUGUAAAAGCAAUUACGUGCAUUUGACUGCAUAUUGCCAUUGUGGAAGCUUUUUAUGCGAGAGUUAGUUGUGCACAGAGCCAUUUAUAAAUGGCAAUUCAAAGAACAGGCAGCAAUACAAUGGGGCCUGCAAGAGGGCUUAAGGAGAACGGAAACUAAAUACAGGAAUUCAGUGUGCUCCCAAGAAAUUAUCUGCUUUCACUCUCAUGAUGGAUUGAAUUGUCAAGAGGUUUUAUAAUAUACAAGGGAAUACCAGUAACUGGUUGUGUUACUGUACUCCAAAUGCCAGCAAUACAGAUUAGCAGCGUGCUGAUGGAGUUCACAGCUGGGUGCCGCCAGCCCAGGGGAUUUGAGCAACAUUUGGGGACAGAGCUCGAAGAAUCACUUUUUGCUGCUCCUUGCAUGGAUAAUAAAAUAUAACUAGUGUCCUUUGCAGUUAUUUCAGUGGGUAAAAACAGCUGAACUGGGGUUCUCAGGUCCAGUCAUCUCUCUGGAAGGUGUUGGUGUAGUGCAGUCUCAAAUCCAAGCAGCCCAGAAGGUUCAUGCACAAAGAACUGUAGCAUGAGCUCCCUUACCCAGCUUCCUUGGGUAACAUAAAGCAUUAAAGACACUGAAAAAGCUGUACUAAGAGAAAACAUUCACUAUACCUGCUUUUGAAAAAGAUGUGGGAAAGAGAGAAUGGACUUUGCAGAAAGGUUUUGAUCUUUAACUACGCAGGAGACUCAAUUUUCAAAAGCAACUGGAGAUCUAUGCACCUUAAUUUUUGGCUGCUAAAUUAUAAGCUCUUAAAAGAGAUUCUUUGACAAGCAAAAGCAGACAUCAAUUUUCAACCAAUAGUCUACAUGGAUGUGUAAAAAGGAAAGACCCAAAAUAAUUAGUGACUCUAAAUUUUAGGAUUGGGAACAAAAGGUGCUUGGGCUUGAGUCUCCCAGGAACACUGUCCUUUAGCCAUCUUCUCCCAGUUUGCUCAUCUUAUCCAUAUAUUUCUUUAGAUCAAAAGUUAAUGGCAUAUACAGAGUCUGAAAAAUUUUUAUUCUUGAAGAAAAAAAAAUCCCAAGGCCAACCUUUCAGUUAGUUGAUUCUUGGAUUUGUUGUCAUCUUUGUAAUCAUGACUUGGUUCCUUCAGGAGUGCUUUCAGGCACAUUUCUUUUGUGUUCCCUUUUGGAAACUCCUUCUUCACUUGCUCUGUGUUUCAGCAUCUUUUGGCAAAAUACUUGAAAAGGUGAUAAACCCCGUAAUGUGCCAUACAAGCAAGAAAAAGACUGUCCUUAGCAGAAAUUAAAUGUCUGUGUUCCAGUGGUACCCAGGACCUCUGCACACAGGAAUUUUUGGAUGUAUGUGGACAGGCUCUUUGUAAGAUGCAGUAGGUCCAAUAGGUUUCAGAGGCAUCAGAUACUGUCCUUGCACAGAAAACACAUUUGGAAUCUCCAGGGAAAUGCACAGAGCCCUUAAAUCCAAACCAGAGGGCAUUCCUUGGCAACAGGAGGGAAGGUAUGUGCAGGACACAAGUUGUCUGGGCUCAUCCCUCACCUGAAAUAAUCAGAGAUGGGUUAAAACAGAGGAUUUAUAGAUAUUUCAAUCUCGUCAGAAAAAAUGGUCCUAAGGGCAAGUUUCAUCAAGCUCUUGUUAUGGAUUCCAGGUGGUGCAGAUGACUUACUGUAACCUACUGGACAGUAUUACAGCAAGGGGGUCCCAGGCUUGGAUGGAGCCUUCAAAUGCUGCUGUGUGGUACAUAAAUAAAAUUAACAUGGGGAAUUAAUUACUUUACAAAAGUUUAGAUUGUCUAUGAGCCUCCUGUUUGCUGCUUGUAACAUAAACUGACACGUUUCCUGUUUUCUUUUGUAAAAGUUGCUUUUCACCUUCAGUUUCCUUUUAAUUUCUUGGAACUGUGCAAACUUCAUUAUCUUCCCAAAGGCAUUGGGAAUUAGGAUUUUCCCAUGCUUACUGCAAAUGCCAAUUAUCAGUGCCAAAAAAAAAAACCAACCCACUGUGCUCCCCUGAAAGCACCAUUCCUAGGAGCUAUUUGUUUUUAAUGAAGAAAUGCUGCAAUAAAGGUAAUUAAAUUAGAAUGGAACUUAAUAUAUAGAACUAGUGGUAGGAAAGAAGGAGAAUGGGAACCUUAAUUAUACCUGACAGAGGUAUGUGGCAGCACAUCCAAGCAGAGUCUAUAUUUUUCUCUUGCUUGAUACAUCCCUGCUCAGUUUAUGGCAUGAAAUCCAGAAUUUUUAAUAGUUUCAGUGGCUUUCAGCAAGUCUGGAUAAUGAAUGUUACCAAUGCUUGUGAUUGAUUUUUUUGCUGUAUUUUUAUUUAGGGUUUUUUGGUGUAUUUUUAUUUAGUUUUUUUUUCUUUUUUUUUUUUCCCCAAGGAAGGACAGUCUUGCAGAUGAGGCAUUUGUGUACUUCUCUUGAGAGCUUGGGUUAGCUCCUGGCUCCUCCAUAGAUUUCUUGUAACUUUGGUUUCUUCUUCCCUAGGAGGUGAGAAAAAGACCCAUGGCUCGUUCUGGAGGGUGAAUCCCCCCAGUUAGCAGCUGUGCACCUGGAGGGCACUGUUGUCUAAUCAGAUCCAUUGCCCAGAGGAGGGAAGCUUGUCCUUUCCAGUGCAAAGAGAAAACUGGGGAUGAUGUUGUGCAGACUUGGAUCCCCUGAGCACCUCUUGGCUCACCAGCAGCAGACGGAGCUGCUUGCCAAGAACCAGAGGAGGAGGUGAGGCAGAACAGAGCUGGCCAGACUCACCAGGGAAGGGGCUGAAAGGAGGACCAAGGCUUGGGAUCCUGGGACCACAGUGUCUAUUGCCCAGCUCUGGGAGUCCCUAACACCACCAGA